AGCAGCCGCGGUAAUUCCAGCUCCAAUAGCGUAUAUUAAAGUUGUUGCAGUUAAAAAGCUCGUAGUUGAAUUUCGAGAUCAAAUUGUUGGUCGUGCCUCGGUACGUACUGGCAUUAUUGAUUUCUCCCUUCUGAAGAACCACGAUGUCAUUAAUUUGGUGUCGUGGGGAAUCAGGACUGUUACUUUGAAAAAAUUAGAGUGUUUAAAGCAGGCUCACGCUUGAAUACAUUAGCAUGGAAUAAUGAAAUAGGACGUUUGAUUCUAUUUUGUUGGUUUCUAGGAUCGACGUAAUGAUUAAUAGGGAUAGUUGGGGGCAUUAGUAUUCAAUUGUCAGAGGUGAAAUUCUCGGAUUUAUUGAAGACUAACUACUGCGAAAGCAUUUGCCAAGGAUGUUUUCAUUAAUCAAGAACGAAAGUUAGGGGAUCGAAGACGAUCAGAUACCGUCGUAGU
Molecule: ribosomal RNA, 450 nt
Filed under: uncultured Glomeromycotina
Lineage: Eukaryota; Fungi; Glomeromycota
Description: SSU rRNA
Rfam family: Eukaryotic small subunit ribosomal RNA
Source: RNAcentral